AAAGAGCACAAGGUGUUCGCUGGCCACUUGUGGCUGGAGGAAAGUCCGAGCUCCACAUGGCAGGUCGCUGGAUAACACCCAGUCAAGGUGACUUGGAGGAAAGUGCAACAGAGAGUAGUCAGCCAUCCAUUGGAUUCCCAACCGCAUCAGAACAACCCCUUAUUGGGCAUGGUUCUGCUGAGGAGGAGUAUGCCUAAUAUUAGACAUACGGUGAAGUUGAAAGGGUGCGGUAAGAGCGCACCGGCGAUGUUGGUGACAGCAUCGGCCAGGCAAACCCCGACCGGAGCAAGACCAAAUGUGAUACAGGACAGCCUGUCUGAUAAAAUCCGGGUAGGUCGCUUCGCUCAGGCGAGAGCAUAUGGGUAACCAUAUGUCUAGAUGAAUGAACACCACCUCGAAAGAGGUACAGAACUCGGCUUAUUGUGCUCUUUGCAU
RNAcentral lists this RNase P RNA (435 nucleotides) under Pseudomonadota bacterium. RNAcentral describes it as "Proteobacteria bacterium RNase P RNA component class A". It matches the Rfam family "Bacterial RNase P class A". Rfam says of the family: Ribonuclease P (RNase P) is a ubiquitous endoribonuclease, found in archaea, bacteria and eukarya as well as chloroplasts and mitochondria. Its best characterised activity is the generation of mature 5'-ends of tRNAs by cleaving the 5'-leader elements of precursor-tRNAs. Cellular RNase Ps are ribonucleoproteins. The record is from RNAcentral. Lineage: Bacteria; Pseudomonadati; Pseudomonadota.